This 253-nucleotide ribosomal RNA is filed under the name uncultured bacterium. RNAcentral's name for it is "partial 16S ribosomal RNA". It matches the Rfam family "Bacterial small subunit ribosomal RNA", at positions 524 to 776 of the family's 1533-position model. The record is from RNAcentral.
UACGGGGGGGGCAAGCGUUGUUCGGAAUUACUGGGCGUAAAGGGUGCGUAGGCGGUGCGGAAAGUGGGGUGUGAAAGACCUCGGCUCAACCGAGGAAUGGCGCUCCAAACUACCGUGCUUGAGUGAGACAGAGGUAAGCGGAACUUCGGGUGGAGCGGUGAAAUGCGUUGAUAUCCGAAGGAACACCGGUGGCGAAAGCGGCUUACUGGGUCUCAACUGACGCUGAGGCACGAAAGCCAGGGUAGCAAACGGG